GAAUUGACGAUUUUACCCUUAAAAAUUAUCACUUGUAUACCCUUAAAUUCUCUUUUUAUCACUUGUAUACCCUUAAAUUAUCAUUUGUAUCAUAUAAAAAGACCAAAUUACCCUUCUGACGUCAUCAUACUUAAACGGCAACUAACGGUUUGGUGGUCAGCUGAUACAUUUUGUCAACUUAGGGUGGACGAUUGAUACACCCUCAAAGUGUUGUAGUAUUUUUGAUAAUGGAGUAAACUAAGGGUAUACAAAUGAUAAUUUCCCU
This 265-nucleotide long non-coding RNA is filed under the name Citrus maxima (pomelo). RNAcentral's name for it is "long non-coding RNA (CMAX_LNC001868)". The record is from RNAcentral. Lineage: Eukaryota; Viridiplantae; Streptophyta; Magnoliopsida; Sapindales; Rutaceae.